This 473-nucleotide ribosomal RNA is filed under the name Bacilli bacterium 12B. Its description in RNAcentral is "bacterial SSU rRNA". It matches the Rfam family "Bacterial small subunit ribosomal RNA", at positions 922 to 1394 of the family's 1533-position model. The record is from RNAcentral. Lineage: Bacteria; Bacillati; Bacillota; Bacilli.
CGCACAAGCGGUGGACCAUGUGGUUUAAUUCGAAGCAACGCGAAGAACCUUACCAGGUCUUGACAUCCUUUGCCACUUCUAGAGAUAGAAGGUUCCCCUUCGGGGGACAAAGUGACAGGUGGUGCAUGGUUGUCGUCAGCUCGUGUCGUGAGAUGUUGGGUUAAGUCCCGCAACGAGCGCAACCCUUGAUCUUAGUUGCCAGCAUUCAGUUGGGCACUCUAAGGUGACUGCCGGUGACAAACCGGAGGAAGGUGGGGAUGACGUCAAAUCAUCAUGCCCCUUAUGACCUGGGCUACACACGUGCUACAAUGGAUGGUACAAAGGGCUGCGAGACCGCGAGGUUUAGCCAAUCCCAUAAAACCAUUCUCAGUUCGGAUUGCAGGCUGCAACUCGCCUGCAUGAAGCUGGAAUCGCUAGUAAUCGCGGAUCAGCAUGCCGCGGUGAAUACGUUCCCGGCCCUUGCACACACCGCC